CGUGUAGGCGGAAUGGUCAGUCGGUGGUGAAAUCUCUGGGCUUAACCCGGAAACUGCCUCCGAUACUUCCAUUCUUGAGUGCAGGAGAGGGUAGUGGAAUUCCCGGUGUAGCGGUGGAAUGCGCAGAUAUCGGGAGGAACACCCGUGGCGAAGGCGGCUACCUGGCCUGACACUGACGCUGAGGAACGAAAGCGUGGGGAGCGAACAGGAUUAGAUACCCUGGUAGUCC
Molecule: ribosomal RNA, 229 nt
Filed under: uncultured bacterium
Lineage: Bacteria
Description: partial 16S ribosomal RNA
Rfam family: Bacterial small subunit ribosomal RNA
Source: RNAcentral